GGAAGGGUGGCUCAGUGGUAGAGCACACCGGCAGUGACCGUUCGCGGUCGAUCCGGUGGAUUUCAAUGGCUUCGCGUGGUUCGACUCCCGCCCCUUCCG
Haloferax sp. is the source of this 99-nucleotide non-coding RNA. Lineage: Archaea; Methanobacteriati; Methanobacteriota; Halobacteria; Halobacteriales; Haloferacaceae. The record is from Rfam.